GACGAACGCUGGCGGCGUGCUUAACACAUGCAAGUCGAACGGAAAGGCCCCUUUGGGGGUACUCGAGUGGCGAACGGGUGCGUAACACGUGAGUAACCUGCCCUUGACUUCGGGAUAACUUCAGGAAACUGGGGCUAAUACCGGAUAGGAAUCCUUGCUGCAGGGUGGGGGUUGGAAAGCUUCGGCGGUUUUGGAUGGAUUCGCGGCCUAUCGGCUUGUUGGUGGGGUAGUGGCUUACCAAGGCUUUGACGGGUAGCCGGCCGGAGGGGGCGACCGGCCACAGUGGGUCUGAGGUACGGCCCAGACUCCUACGGGAGGCAGCAGUGGGGAAUAUUGCACAAUGGGCGGAAGCCGGAUGCAGCCACGCCGCGUGCGGGAUGACGGCCUUCGGGUUGUAAACCGCUUUCAGCAGGGGCGAAGCUUGUGGUGACGGUACCUGCAGAAGAAGCACCGGCUAACUACGUG
Molecule: ribosomal RNA, 465 nt
Filed under: uncultured bacterium
Lineage: Bacteria
Description: partial 16S ribosomal RNA
Rfam family: Bacterial small subunit ribosomal RNA
Source: RNAcentral